Pieris napi is the source of this 426-nucleotide long non-coding RNA. RefSeq lists it as uncharacterized. The record is from RefSeq and is a predicted model, not a curated record. NCBI's taxonomy places the organism in Eukaryota, Metazoa, Arthropoda, Insecta, Lepidoptera, Pieridae. The transcript has 2 exons.
UUGCUUAGAACUGCUAAAAACAUAUCUAGCUAGUGAAAUUUAUACAAGACAAACCUAGAAAAUAAAACUGGAAGGGGUAAUAUUGACUUUCUCAGCACUACUUUGUGAUUUAAGUAGUCAAGAAAAAAAAUCAAUCUAUGUGCCAUCUAACUUAUCUUAUUCCAUAAAUAAACCUCUUUAAUGAUGAUAACAUGCUUUAUGAAAUGCGCAACCCUGAUUACCACGCAUUAUUCUUCCUUGGAUGGCUGAUUUUUUCUUCUUUCUAUUUAAAUUACCAUUUUUGUAGAAAAAAUGUUAAACCUUAUAAUUUUUUAUCCAGAUAGUCCAGUUUCCCAUGGAAGAUUGUGGACAGGAUUUCCGUCUAAAAGGUACAACUCGAUCGAUGCUGUCAACAAAUUUAGUUUUAAAUAAAUUAAAUGUUACGUA